Paramisgurnus dabryanus is the source of this 2544-nucleotide non-coding RNA. NCBI's taxonomy places the organism in Eukaryota, Metazoa, Chordata, Actinopteri, Cypriniformes, Cobitidae. The record is from RefSeq and is a predicted model, not a curated record.
AACGAGUGCUCUAUGGAUUGAACAUAAAAUGUAGUAUAAACAAGUGUUAUGUUUUUAAAUGCCACUAAUAAUGUGUUUCUGUUUUCUUUCUCAUUAUGCUAACAAACACUCUUUUACCCCUCAUGUUAGGUAGAUCAACACUCCAACCAUCUGCAUUAGGGACUGAAUAAAGGAUGCCCUCUGUAGCUGGGAAUGUUAGAUCAGGCGGAUCAACAUUCCAUCCAUCUGCAUUAGGAUCUACCUUAGAGACACUCACUGGAGCUGUAAAUGGGAAGCAGGUCACUUACUUUGCAUUCGUCCUUGGUGGUCACCCAAGGGUCUCUAGAGUGAAAAUUACUCAAUCUAUGGAUUAAACAGAAAAUUUAGUUGUAUGAAGUGCAAUUUGGGACAUUCUUCCAGUUGUCGGCAACUUUGUGAAAAAGGCUGGAAACUUAAAUGCAGAAUUCUGGCCUGGUGUUUGGUCUGUUCUGUUUUUGGCUCUUGCAUCUCCAUCAUCCUGACCCUCUUUAGCAGCCUGUCCAUGUAUUUAUUUGGAGCCACCAUGAGCACCCAUCUGCAUAAUAUGACUUUGUUACUCAGAUGUCCAUGCGCUCCUACAAAUUCUACAUUUUUUGUAAAGCUGCAACAAGUUGAAACCCUAUAAUUAUUAACGUUUGAUUUUGAACUAUGUAAUUCAAAUACAUGAAUAAGUAACAAAAGCAGAAAUUUAUUAAGAUAUUACCUUUUUGUUGCUUGUUUACUGAUCUAUCAAUCCUUUUGCAUUUUCAUAAUUGUUCAUCAUAACUUGGUAUACAGUUGAUGUGUGGCUGCAGAUAACUUUCUGAAGUCAAUUUAAAAAGACAAAAGUUAAUAAAAGCUGAAUUGGUCAAAUAUACAUUGUUGUAUUUUCACCAUUUUGAUGUUUAGGCAUUUCAUAACUUGAGGGUUAAUUCACGUAUAGUUGUUAUUAAUGACAGCUAAUCAUUUUAUAAAGAUUUUUAUUACAAUAUUUAUUUAUAUAAUAUCAAUUUAAUACAUUUAAUUCGUUACACCUACAUUACUGAGCGCAAGGGAGUGCAGCCAACAAAUACAUUCAGGUGUGUUCGACUUAACACCGAGAUGCGCAGACAGCACGUGGUAUGACAUCAAAAAACCGCGAGAGUUUGGGAAAGCCCCGGAAAAGGUUUGAUCUCGCGGUACUUGAUGUCACGAUCGGUUUGCGUGUAGAUCAGCAUGAAGUAGAACACAUCUGAAAGAUGUGUGGGCUGCCUGCACUCAACGUUGCGAUAAUUCAGUAGAGUCUAACCUCAAUCGGUUUUUGCAGCUUUUGGGUGUCGUGUCGAACGAUCGCAGAACGAUUUUUUGUUCUUUUCCAACUCGAUUUUUAACUCCCUAGACUAGUAGGAUGUUCCAACGGGUGAAGCAACAGUGCUGACGGCAGAGUUUCAGUGUCAAUUUUUCAUGCCAUGAUCACUGGGGCGGAAACCAUUAUGACGUUGCCUUGGACAUCAAACUAAACCAUCUCAUUCUGGCUUUUUUCUAACAUUGAAAUCUCAGAAGGCCAGGACUAAGAUGGACGCAGCCUCCACAUGCAACCUUGCAUUUGAGGAACACCCAUAGAACGGUCAACUUACCCCAUACUCUAACCUGAAUGCAGGGAUCAUAAAACUUUAUCUUUUACCUUAAUUGUUAGAUGGGUGUUGAUACCAAACUUUUUUGUCUCGUCUACCCAGGAGAAAGUCAUGGGUUCUGCUGCUGAGUGUCUUUUAUUCUGCUUACCGGACUCAUUCAGAAUUCUGGCUUGAUGUUUGGUCCACCUGUUAGCUGGCUCUGGUGCUUGGUAGUCUUCUCAAACCUCUGAAUCAAGGCCACCAUGAGAGGCCUUCUGAAGACCAUCAUUACGCUUCAGAUCCAGUUGUCUUAACUAUGAGAUAGAACUGAACUGGAGUCUGUGAACUAAUGCUGUGUUCGAGACAACUGGAACAGCAAACAAAGUUGAGUAUCCGACCUCUCAACUUGUGACUGAUCGAUCAGCACCAACCUCAACGAGAUGCAUCAUUUGACAUUGCAGACAAGAUCCUUUCUCUUUUUAAUGCAGCACUUAAGGAUGAACCACCCUGAUCUACUAAGAUGCACAGAUUCAACUCUGGCCCAGCAUCAUCCCCACACCUCAUCUGCCAUCAGUUUAAUUUAAUGUCUGUCAAUUGCAAAUGCUAUUUAUUUCAGUUAUAUUACAACUUAAUGUUAACUUUAAUUGAGACUAGUAUUGUGUAAAGCUGGGGUUUCCAAACUUUUCAUUUCAAAACCUAUUAGACAAGUGUAAUCUAUUCUAGACCCACUAAAAUAUUUUUACAUAUACAUUUUUUUAAUGGGGUAAAACACAUUUGUUCUCUUUCAGUGGAGUCAUUUUAUUUUCAUAAUAUUUCAUAAUGUAAAGCAGUGGUUCUUAACGUUAUUCCUCGAGGCCCAUUGCUCUGCACAUUUUGUAUGUCUCUUUUAUCUGACAGACUCAGUUCAGUUCAUUGAGAUCUCUUCUAAUGAGCUGAUGAUUUGAAUCAGGUGUGU